RNAcentral lists this ribosomal RNA (492 nucleotides) under uncultured bacterium. RNAcentral's name for it is "partial 16S ribosomal RNA". It matches the Rfam family "Bacterial small subunit ribosomal RNA", at positions 29 to 507 of the family's 1533-position model. The record is from RNAcentral.
AGUGAACGCUGGCGGUAGGCCUAACACAUGCAAGUCGAACGGCAGCACAGUAAGAGCUUGCUCUUACGGGUGGCGAGUGGCGGACGGGUGAGGAAUACAUCGGAAUCUACUUUUUCGUGGGGGAUAACGUAGGGAAACUUACGCUAAUACCGCAUACGACCUACGGGUGAAAGCAGGGGAUCUUCGGACCUUGCGCGAUUGAAUGAGCCGAUGUCGGAUUAGCUAGUUGGCGGGGUAAAGGCCCACCAAGGCGACGAUCCGUAGCUGGUCUGAGAGGAUGAUCAGCCACACUGGAACUGAGACACGGUCCAGACUCCUACGGGAGGCAGCAGUGGGGAAUAUUGGACGAUGGGCGCAAGCCUGAUCCAGCCAUACCGCGUGGGUGAAGAAGGCCUUCGGGUUGUAAAGCCCUUUUGUUGGGAAAGAAAAGCAGCAGGUUAAUACCCCGCUGUUCUGACGGUACCCAAAGAAUAAGCACCGGCUAGCUUCGUG